AUGGACAAAACAAAUAAUGUAAACAAAAAAGAAACAAACAAACAAAAAAACAAUUUCAUGGGCGGCAUCGACCGAUAUCCAUCAAUUCUGAACCUUAUCCUCAGCAUGGUCUCACUCCUCCUCGAAGCACCUGACGGCGUUGUCGGGGUCGAUGUCGCUGCAGAGCGGCAGGUCGGCGGGGAGCGCCUCCAGGCUGAGGUUGGCGUCCCUCAGCGCGAACACCACCUCCUCGAACAGAAGCCGGUUGCCGGUCGGAGUGAGGUGCAGCCCGUCCCUGAGGAACGCCGUCUCCCACCCGGGGAACUCCUGCAUCCGGGACCAGAGGUCGAUGGCCCGGAGCCCGCGCUGGCGCGCCACCUCCACGCACGCCCGCGCGUACCGGCCGGCCGCCUCGUUGGUCCGCUCGGGCAGGCCGGACGCGUCCCCGUUGCGCGGGAACCGGACGCGGCCGCGCUCGUCGACGGGGGGCGGCGUGACGAGGAUGAGCGCCGCCGACGGCCAGCGCGCGCGGAGCAGCGCGCAGAUGGCGCGCAGGUUGUCCCGGUACUCCGGGAGCGGCACGUGCUGGAACGCGCUGGCGCGGUCGGGGAGCGACGCGUCGUUGGCGCCGAAGAAGACGGUGACGGCGGCGACGGCCGCCGACGCCGGGAUGGCGGAGAACGCGCGGUCGGCCACCAGGGACGCCCAGCGGGUGUUGUAGCCGCUGUAGCCCCGGAGGACGACGUCGGCGGAGCGGGAGUAGUGGUUCGCCAGGUGCGCGCCCCACCCGCCCUCCCCGAACGACUCCUCCGUGAUGGAGUCGCCGAACAGCAUGAUCGACGGCCUCAUGAUGAUGACCCUCGAGCUCAAGCUUCGCUCGUGCUAGCUGGUCAAGUUCGAUCGAUGAGUGGCAUGGCGCGCGGAAGGUUGUAUAUAGACAGGAAGCGAGAGGCGGCUGCAUGGGGGAGCGAGCCGGGUUGGCCGUACGCACGCACGUUGAAUUCGUCGGCUGAUCGGUUCAGUGCACGGACGAAAGGAACAAAAUACCAGUCUCGAUCGUCUUGGUUUGUGGCGACGUCGCUUCUGUCGGACGGACACAUCGAGUAUGGAAAAUCAAACUGCCCUCGUCUCCUUAUCGUUUUUCGGUACCGCCUCUGUGCUGCUAGAACAUUCCUUUCCCGUGGGCGCGUGUAUGAGCGGUGA
This 1182-nucleotide ribosomal RNA is filed under the name Triticum aestivum (bread wheat). RNAcentral describes it as "partial small subunit ribosomal RNA". Lineage: Eukaryota; Viridiplantae; Streptophyta; Magnoliopsida; Poales; Poaceae. The record is from RNAcentral.